UACGUAGGGGGCAAGCGUUGUCCGGAUUUAUUGGGCGUAAAGAGCUCGUAGGUGGUUCGGUAAGUCGGAUGUGAAAUCUCCAGGCUCAACCUGGAGGGGUCAUUCGAUACUGCCGUGACUAGAGUUCGGUAGGGGAGUGUGGAAUUCCUGGUGGAGCGGUGAAAUGCGCAGAUAUCAGGAGGAACAGCCGUAGCGAAGGCGGCUCUCUGGGACGGUACUGACGCUGAGACGCGAAAGCGUGGGGAGCGAACAGG
RNAcentral lists this ribosomal RNA (254 nucleotides) under uncultured bacterium. RNAcentral describes it as "partial 16S ribosomal RNA". It matches the Rfam family "Bacterial small subunit ribosomal RNA", at positions 524 to 776 of the family's 1533-position model. The record is from RNAcentral.